UCUAGAUCUGAAAUCAACUGAGAUCA
This 26-nucleotide ribosomal RNA is filed under the name Lichtheimia ramosa. Its description in RNAcentral is "partial 28S ribosomal RNA". The record is from RNAcentral. Lineage: Eukaryota; Fungi; Mucoromycota; Mucoromycetes; Mucorales; Lichtheimiaceae.